This 780-nucleotide ribosomal RNA is filed under the name Salmonella enterica. RNAcentral's name for it is "partial 23S ribosomal RNA". It matches the Rfam family "Bacterial large subunit ribosomal RNA", at positions 2023 to 2802 of the family's 2925-position model. Lineage: Bacteria; Pseudomonadati; Pseudomonadota; Gammaproteobacteria; Enterobacterales; Enterobacteriaceae. The record is from RNAcentral.
CACCCGAGACUCAGUGAAAUUGAACUCGCUGUGAAGAUGCAGUGUACCCGCGGCAAGACGGAAAGACCCCGUGAACCUUUACUAUAGCUUGACACUGAACAUUGAGCCUUGAUGUGUAGGAUAGGUGGGAGGCUUUGAAGCGUGGACGCCAGUCUGCGUGGAGCCGACCUUGAAAUACCACCCUUUAAUGUUUGAUGUUCUAACGUGGACCCGUUACCCGGGUUGCGGACAGUGUCUGGUGGGUAGUUUGACUGGGGCGGUCUCCUCCUAAAGAGUAACGGAGGAGCACGAAGGUUGGCUAAUCCUGGUCGGACAUCAGGAGGUUAGUGCAAUGGCAUAAGCCAGCUUGACUGCGAGCGUGACGGCGCGAGCAGGUGCGAAAGCAGGUCAUAGUGAUCCGGUGGUUCUGAAUGGAAGGGCCAUCGCUCAACGGAUAAAAGGUACUCCGGGGAUAACAGGCUGAUACCGCCCAAGAGUUCAUAUCGACGGCGGUGUUUGGCACCUCGAUGUCGGCUCAUCACAUCCUGGGGCUGAAGUAGGUCCCAAGGGUAUGGCUGUUCGCCAUUUAAAGUGGUACGCGAGCUGGGUUUAGAACGUCGUGAGACAGUUCGGUCCCUAUCUGCCGUGGGCGCUGGAGAACUGAGGGGGGCUGCUCCUAGUACGAGAGGACCGGAGUGGACGCAUCACUGGUGUUCGGGUUGUCAUGCCAAUGGCACUGCCCGGUAGCUAAAUGCGGAAGAGAUAAGUGCUGAAAGCAUCUAAGCACGAAACUUGCCCCGA